Molecule: ribosomal RNA, 495 nt
Filed under: uncultured bacterium
Lineage: Bacteria
Description: partial 16S ribosomal RNA
Rfam family: Bacterial small subunit ribosomal RNA
Source: RNAcentral
GACGAACGCUGGCGGCGUGCCUAAUACAUGCAAGUAGAACGCUGAAGGAGGAUCUUGCUCUUCUGGAUGAGUUGCGAACGGGUGAGUAACGCGUAGGUAACCUGCCUGGUAGCGGGGGAUAACUAUUGGAAACGAUAGCUAAUACCGCAUAAGAGUAGAUGUUGCAUGACAUUUGCUUAAAAGGUGCAAUUGCAUCACUACCAGAUGGACCUGCGUUGUAUUAGCUAGUUGGUGGGGUAACGGCUCACCAAGGCGACGAUACAUAGCCGACCUGAGAGGGUGAUCGGCCACACUGGGACUGAGACACGGCCCAGACUCCUACGGGAGGCAGCAGUAGGGAAUCUUCGGCAAUGGACGGAAGUCUGACCGAGCAACGCCGCGUGAGUGAAGAAGGUUUUCGGAUCGUAAAGCUCUGUUGUAAGAGAAGAACGAGUGUGAGAGUGGAAAGUUCACACUGUGACGGUAGCUUACCAGAAAGGGACGGCUAACUACGUG